This 300-nucleotide unclassified non-coding RNA is filed under the name air metagenome. Its description in RNAcentral is "partial contains small subunit ribosomal RNA, internal transcribed spacer 1, and 5.8S ribosomal RNA". The stretch from base 1 to 46 matches the Rfam family "Eukaryotic small subunit ribosomal RNA", at positions 1786 to 1831 of the family's 1831-position model. The record is from RNAcentral.
AAGUCGUAACAAGGUUUCCGUAGGUGAACCUGCGGAAGGAUCAUUAUCGAGUUUGUGGCGUCCUCUUGGUUGAGCUGGCUCGAAAGGGCAAGUGCUCGCCGAGCGUCGACGUUCUUUCUCUAAACCCCCCCUUCUUUUUGUGCACAUCCGCGUGGGUUUGAAGGCGCUUCUCUCCGGAGAAGUGCUCGAAGGCUUCGCGUCUUUUUCUAUAUACUCUCUCGAAAGGACAAUGGAAUGUUUUUGUCUUGCGUUUUACGCGAAACCUAUAUACAACUUUCAGCAACGGAUCUCUUGGCUCUC